Molecule: non-coding RNA, 2203 nt
Organism: Pelobates cultripes (western spadefoot toad)
Lineage: Eukaryota; Metazoa; Chordata; Amphibia; Anura; Pelobatidae
Source: the annotation of a GenBank genome assembly
AGUGAGGUCGGCAGCCGGAAUGUAACAUCACCCAGGCCCGGCAUCACUACCAGCCGCAGGUCGGGGCUGUACAGGAAGAGGACAAUGUAAACCCAGCAGCCCCCUGGAACUCAACAAGAGAGUUGUCCAUUCCAGCUCUCCCAGGAAAAGGUAGGGAGGCUGGGCGGCUCUCAUUAAAUAAAUAAAUAAAAACGUGUGUGUGUGUAAAUGUCUGUGACUAUAUUUGCACGUGUGUGUUUGUAUUUUCUGAAUGUGCACGUAUUUGUGUCUGAGAAUGUGUGUGUUUAUCUGAAUGUGCAUGUAUUUGUGUUUGUUUGAAUGUGUAUGUAUUGGUGUCUGAGAAUGUGUGUGUUUAGUAGAUAGCACCCUAUUUAUGCCCUGGGGAGAUAGCGCAGCUAAGCGGACAAGGGCACAUGUAGGAGUGUGGGGAUAGAUGCGUGGGAGUGUCUUGGGAAGUGUGUGUGUGUUGGGUUUGAGCUAUGUGAGCUAGUAGGGGGGAGGUCUUCCCUCAGUGCCACUUGGGAUUCGGGCCAGCAAACAGCUUCCUGCCAGCCCACCCCUUGUUGUAUUAGUUAGUCACAGCGAGCCGGGGGUAUGUCCUUGCCAAUUAAGUUUAAGGGGUUAUGUUUAAGGAUGGAGUAAUUUUUAUUAUGUUUGCAGGUCUCAACCUCCCCUGCUUCAAAGGGUUAACCAUAGGUUGCCUGAGGUGUCGUGCCCAUCGAGCGUGGAUAAGGUCGGCUGAUGGCGGGCAUUGAAAGGAUUUUUUAUGACGAGGGGGAGGUGAGAGGAAGUGGUGAUUAGGAACCACUGUAUGUUUAUUGGCAAGGACGGUUGGGUCACUGUAUAACACUAUGGGUGGAGUUAUAUAUGUAUAUAUGUUAAUUUAUGCUUAUUUAUGUCUAACAAUUUGGUUACAGAAAGAAGAGAUUUAAUAAAUAAAGUUAUGGAUGUGUUAUGCAGUAAUUUAGUUUGUGAUAAUAAAUGAUGUGGCCUGUUUCAUCCAUACUAAGUGGUCUGUCGUUAUUGGGGGAUUGAAUGGGGUUAGUUCUGUACUAGGCUGCAUUGCGAUUCCCCACUACGUACGUACAUGAUUUCCAGUAAUAUGGCAAUCCCACAGAAGGAUAGCAAAUUAGGGAGUUAUUUAUUAUAUUAAUUUCGCUAUAGAUAAAUGGUCCUUUGUCCUUUUACACAGAUGGCAUUCGGCCCUCAUGUGGAAAUCCCUGUUUUAAACAGUGUUUGAAGGAUUGUGGCCAGGGUGGUACACUGCCACCCUCCCCAUGUGUUCCCUAUUAAUUGUUAAUUACUUUGUAGGAGUAAAUGAAAUACCCCUUCCUGUCUCAUUAAAGAUUUUGCCUUUUAGCCAAAAGCAGCAAGUUGUUGUUAGUGUAGAACUCACAUACGAGGGUUUCCUUGAUGUGGCAGGUGAGCUUACACGUUAAUUGCAAUUGGAGUGAAAAUAAAAACCUUUAGCUAUUUUAAUGUGCGCAGGGAUUUGGGAUAAUGGGCAGGAAGCGUUUUUUGGUAUUUGGGCUAACAAGUAAUAGACAUUGCUGCUGCCCAAGAGUAGUGGGAGUUUAAAUGUUGGGCUUAAUAUUGUGUGUUUGUAUUUUACUAAUAAUACUAUUGAUGUCAGCAUGUGGUGCAGGUCAGAUAUAGGAUGAUGGACCGUAUAAAACACAGUCACAGCUACGGCACACGCUACAGAAUGAACCCGUUAUAAAGUAUACAUGAAUAAUGUUCUGCAAAGAUCUACACUAAUUGUGGAUACAAAUCUCUGUUGGGCCCACAAGAAACUCAUUACACAGGAGCACAAUGUGCAAUGGACCUCAGGGGCCCAUCUGUGAAUAGUCACUGGAUCCAUUUUUAAAUUAUCCCUUCCACCAUUCCAUAUUUAAUGACUAUAUGUACUAAGAACAGACAGUGUAGAAAUGCAAGCGCCGUGCCUGACUAUUGUUCUGGUUAUUCUCCCAUAGAAUCAUGGGAAUCUUCAUCGCCCUGAGUUUGUUCCUCUCCAUUCUGGUCACCGUCACCCUCCUCCUCUCAUACUGGAAGCAGACGAAGAUGGCAAACCAGCUACCCCCAGGACCACCUCCACUGCCCCUGCUGGGAAAUCCCAGUUAUGUGACCAAGGAGGGAGCUUGUAAAUAUUAUCCUGAGGUAGGUACUACUGACUGUAAAUACUGCACUGGGGUAGGUACUACUG